GGGGGGGCGCCUUUGCCCCCCGGGCCCGUGCCCGCCGGAGACCCCAACACGAACACUGUCUGAAAGCGUGCAGUCUGAGUUGAUUGAAUGCAAUCAGUUAAAACUUUCAACAAUGGAUCUCUUGGUUCCGGCAUCGAUGAAGAACGCAGCGAAAUGCGAUAACUAAUGUGAAUUGCAGAAUUCAGUGAAUCAUCGAGUCUUUGAACGCACAUUGCGCCCCCUGGUAUUCCGGGGGGCAUGCCUGUCCGAGCGUCAUUGCUGCCCUCAAGCCCGGCUUGUGUGUUGGGUCGCCGUCCCCCUCUCCGGGGGGACGGGCCCGAAAGGCAGCGGCGGCACCGCGUCCGAUCCUCGAGCGUAUGGGGCUUUGUCACAUGCUCUGUAGGAUUGGCCGGCGCCUGCCGACGUUUUCCAACCAUUUUUUCCAGGUUGACCUCGGAUCAGGUAGGGAUACCCGCUGAACUUAAGCAUAUCAUAGAACGCGAAGGAUUUC
This 490-nucleotide ribosomal RNA is filed under the name Aspergillus sp. HL58. Its description in RNAcentral is "eukaryotic LSU rRNA". The stretch from base 102 to 255 matches the Rfam family "5.8S ribosomal RNA". Lineage: Eukaryota; Fungi; Ascomycota; Eurotiomycetes; Eurotiales; Aspergillaceae. The record is from RNAcentral.